RNAcentral lists this long non-coding RNA (8770 nucleotides) under Gallus gallus (chicken). Its description in RNAcentral is "lncRNA (ENSGALG00010011097.1)". The record is from RNAcentral. Lineage: Eukaryota; Metazoa; Chordata; Aves; Galliformes; Phasianidae.
UGCUUUUGUAGUUCUUUGUGCAACUUCUCAUAGGGGCUCGUCCCUAGAUCCCGUGUUUUGGAAAGUUCUUCAGAGGCUCCUCCAAAGAGCAGUUCUAUUCCUGGUGUUUCAGCAGCUUUGUAGCAGUUGGUGAAUGUCUGCCAUGUGGUUUUAGCUCAAGGAAUGUUUAUUUUUUUCCUGAUAUCUUCUUUCCUGCCAUGCAUGUUUUUACAGCCCUUUAUGAAACUUCUUUGUUAGUUUUGGAAUUAUAACUCCUUUCAUUGAAAACACCAUUCUGAAGAUAUCUGAAGCUUUUAUAAAUAUAAAAAAGUAUUCAAUAUAUCUAAACUUGUAAGUCAUACGUGCUUCUACACUCACAAUUCAAUAUCACUCCUAGAUAAUCUGCAUUGUUGCCUGUUGUAACUACUUCUUUCCUCGUGUACCAACAUCCUAUGCUCACUCUAUGUUCAAAACCUUUGAACAAUGUUCACUUUCCAAUUUUUUCAACACCUCAGAUGUAUUUUUAACUAUUCCUUGCUAUACCUGAUAAUACUAAUUUUCUUAAUAAUUAAUAGUAAUUUGCCUUUCAUUUCCAUUAUUUAAUCUGCUUAUUUACAAGUUCAAGCACACAUUUACAAGGUAGGUAUUUACAUAUUUGAACAAGCCUAUGUUGUGUUACUCAAAAUAUUGAUGCUUUGCAAUUGUUAGUCAUGUAAUUAUCCUAAACGUAAUAAAUCAUUUAUUUGCCCUUUUAUUUUUAUUUUAUGGGCUCUAACUUUUACUUGUACCAGCAUUGAUGUAAAUAGUAAAUACUAAGGUUAUUUUAAACAGUUAUUUAAAUGGAACUUACCUUCCCAAAUGUAGUGCUUCGUAAGCCUUUUUUUUUUUUUUUUUUACCUAACUGUCAGGUAACCCUAAAUGAGAGAUCCUGGAAGCAUUAAGGAACUUACAAAUAGUACCUUUGAAAACUAAACCACGUGUCCAUAUUUUCUCUGUGGUUUUGGUUUGUUUUGUUGGUUAGUUUUUUAUUCCAUUAGGAGUUUUCCUGGUGGUAGUCUAACCACCUAGACUGAGUUGGACACCAUUUCAAGAAGAAGGAAACUUAUUUCAACCCAGUGAAGUAGUAACUACGUGGGGCUUCACCAGGAAUUAUUUUGACAUGUGAAUAUUUUACUUGCUUUGAGUUGUUGUAUGCAUAUAAUUGUACUAUUUUACAGCUAUAUAUUCUAAAUCACAUUACUUCUCUGGAAUUUAGCCAGUCUUAUGGGAAGGAGCAGGACCUUCAACGUGCUAUGAUGGUUUUUCAGCUCACUGUCUCAAAAUCUGACCUGUUUGAUCAGGGAAUGGGGAAGAACCCAUGAAUGAAGUUUCUGGCUAUUAAAAUAAAAUGAAAAAUGUAGCCCACUCUUCCUCAAACAUCACCAUUUUUUCAUUUUAAUAUUUUAAUGGAUUUUUCUUUUCUCCUCAUGUAGCUGGGGUCAAGCCUUGCUUCUUCUCAUCUAUCAAGUCAUCUUAGCUUUGCAGAAUUCCUGCCAGCAAAUGUGCAGACCUAUAACCAAGCAAUAUUGAAAUUACCAAUGAAAGAGCUUUAUUCUUCUAAGCAUAUUUGCCAAACACUCUGACUGAGAGAUUAAAAUACACGUUUGAAGCAAAUUUGGCUAGGGCUUUGCAGGCAGACAUACUAACUUGAACUGCUGGUACCAUCCAUUCAGGCUUCAUCCCUUGCAGCAGGCUGAAAACAUCCUGCAGAUCUCUUGCUGCUCCAACAAGCUUUGUCCUGUUUCUUUAUUCUUUUGCAAUUACUUAUUUAUACUUUUUUGGUGUGUGUGAGAACCUAGUAUCUGUUUGAUGCAAGAUCACUAACAAUUUUGUAGAGGAAAAUAAAUGAUGUGUGUACUCCAUUGACACGCAAGAGUAGCGAUUGAGCAUGCUUCAGUGCUCCCACCUGUAGCACAACUGAUUAAGUGUGGAAAGGAUGAAAGAAGAUGAAAACACAUUGAGCAGAGGAACUGAAAGUGCAUGAGGCCAAGAGGCUCCUAAUGUGAGUAACUGUUACCAGACUAAUAGGAGGUAGUCAUAAUAUUUUUAGUUUAUAAGGUUGUUAUUGAUGUAAAAUGCAGAAAUAAAGGAUGAGAAGCAGAAAUCAGAGGGAGAUAUUCUUCAUCAAUCAUCAGAACCUCAGUUGUAAUGCCAUGAGAGUAAAGGGCAUCUAUAAAUGAGGCUGGGACUCAGAUCAUUUGUCUUCCGUAGUUACUAACGGAUCUGUAGUCCUUACCCACUAUUUCCUCUUGGAAGGCAUUUGUACUUCUGUCCUCCACAACAUCCUAUGGCAGUAUUCUGAGCUCUGAUCACUCAGCAUAUUGUCUUUAAGAGCAUGGGGACAUCUGCAUGAUUUAGGGAAUGUAAAGAUGGGUAUUUCUAGCAUACAGAGAAGCAUGUCAGAAAUACCUUUCCAAGGGAGGCAGGUUCUAGGAAUGGCUGUGUGCACCAACCCUCCAGUUCCUCUUGCCUCCUCCAGUGUAGGAUCUUAGAAAGGCUUGGGUUGGAAGGGACCUUAAAAAUUAUCUACCCCCACCACGCACUCCUCUGGUGAGAUUCUCUGGGAAAGUGAGCUGUCAUUCUUGAGUAAUCCAGGAUAGAGUGGAUGGGAAGUGUUGGGAAAGAAGCUGGAAAGAGGCAUUCUGGGAAGCUCAAGUAGGCUUGGUGUGCGCUGGUAAUGUAGAAGGAAGCAUGUGGAAACACCCAGGGGGAAAAAAUGACAGAUUUACAUCUUGGAGUUAUUUCAGACUCUGUUAUUCUCUAUGGGGAAUUCCCAUUCAGCUAAGAACAGUACCAUUCUUAUAAAAUAUUUCAGGGUAACACUGUGAUACAACUCUGUAUUAGAAUCUCUAGUUAAACUGUAGAAUAUUGAGAAGAUACAAGAGUUACUCAUCUCUAAGGCUCUUUAAGAAUCACUGUCAGUGUGGCUGGAAGGGGAAUUGUCAGGGUACCAUGACAUUAACAAAGGUUUCUCAAGAGCAGCCUUAACUCUUAUUGUAAGUAUUUCUACUAAUGGUUUCAACACUAGCAAAAAGGCAGACCUGACAAACUCAAUUGGGAAGCAUCUCCAGAGAAAGACCAAAUAUGCAAGAGGACCAAGGGACUGUGGAAACGCUGCCUAAACUUCAGUAGAAAACGGGCUGGAUCUUGAGUGAUGGUUCAGCUGGAGGUGUUUGCAUGUGUGUGUAUGCAAGCUCCUUCGAAUAGGGAGAGAUGUGUGGGUUUGCUGGUAUUCAGUUGAAGUGCAGAGUUGGUCAUCGUUCAGGGAUGGGGAAUUCUAUAAGUACAUUUCCACCUGGUUGGAGGGUAUGGAGAAGACAAGCAAACUUGUGCUGGUGCUGCACAGGGAGAGGCAGUGGCACUGGGUGGAAAAGAAACGUUCUAGUUGGAUGCAAGGAAAACAAAAUUACCACGGUGCUGAUGGGUCAGUGGAGAGGCUAUAAAAUGUGUCCUGGAGGUGUGUGAGACUUAGCUGACCAGUGCUGAGCAUACUGCCCUACUGGACCCUGUCUGGGAAAAGCUGGGCUGCAGCCUUCAUAGAUCCUUCCCAACAUCUACUCUGUGCUUAGUAACUUUUCUUGAUCAAAAAUGUUGGGUUGUAUAGUCAUAAGAAGUGUUAUCAGAUGGCCAGGAUUAUCCAUGAACUUACAGAUCUGGAUCUCAGCUCGUUUCUUACAGAACUAUAUUUUCACAUAUUUAUUUUCUACGGCAAAAAUGUUUUGAAUUUCUGUGCAUAAGGUUUUGUUUCGCUGUCGUGGGCUGAGAUUUCUGUUGUUUGCCAUUAUUUUUGAUAUCAAAGAUUUUGAUGUUUGCAAUUAUUUUCUAUGCAGAGGUUGCUAGAAUCAGAUUAAGAAACCAGGUAUUUUCUGCAGCCUUUUAGUACCAAAGCCUCAGACAUGGUAGCGUGUGAGGAAACAGAUAGGAAAGUUUUCAGUGGGUUGCACUGGGGUCCUAAAAGGGGCAUCCCUGACUGCAUGGCUUACAGCAGAGCCAGGCCUUCUCCCCUGUGCUCCUUCAUCUGUUCUCAUAAGGAAAUGGUGUUGCAGAAAGGCUAAGGAAGGAGAAUGAGCAAGGCAAGACUUAACAGCCUACGUGUAUCUGAAAUUGUAAAUAACUAAAGAUAAAAAGGAAAUAUUCGGGGGAGCGUAGGGGCUUAUAGCUAGAAAUAAAGCAGUGAAAUGAAGAAAGAGAAGAUUAAGGCUAAAUGUCAUGAAAGAGCAUUCUGCAACAGUAGUGGUUUUUUAGAUGACUCUUCCAAAGAAAGCAAAGAAAAAAAGGUUUUAGGACAAAGGCCCUUUAUUCCUUUUUCUUUUUUCCCUGUUUCUUCCCUUCAGCUUAACCACUCUAUGUAAAAUAAUCUCAUAUGGGUAUAUAAAAGAAUGUAUUAAAUUUUUUGAGGCAUGAAUGUGAAUCUCUACAUCCUUGGAGCUGUCGUGAUGAUGCCUGAAUCUCGUGCAGCUUCACCAAGCCAAAGGCACAACCUUUGUCACCCACAUCUCAGGGCACAGAGUUCCAAUGCUGCAGUGAAAGUAAGGAGCUGGGUAGUUGAGGAUUUAGUUUUUACCUAAGUUGCAUAACAGAGAGAGUGAAAACCUGUGUUUGGGCUGCAGUGAGUGGAGAAGAAAGGAGGAAGAUUGGAAGAAAUAAAGCUUGUCGGGGAGUGUUGCUUUCUUUUUCGGCUGGGUGUUGAUGCUGCCCCUUAUAUAUCACUCGUAGGACCCAGAUGGCAAUUCCAGCUGCAACUGGUCCUAUCUUAUUGGAGGUUAGAAUCGUUGUAAAAAAGCAAAGAGGGUAUUUGUGGUUGGCUAACUGCUAAGAGGAAGUAAAGAAAUAAACCAAAAUCCCGAAGUUAAACUUUGGAGUGGGUUAAAUAAGUGCUAAUUCUUUGCAAUAUCAUAUUUUGACACAGAUAUUCUUCACUCAGCUGACAGUGGCUUUUGAUGUCUAAAACAUCUUUCCUUUAACUUUAUCUCCCGAACCAUGGAAUUGUGCAGAGUGAAGUUGCUGGCAUUGGUGAUGUUGCAUCUGUGUGCUAAUGAAAUGGUCCAGAUAAAGCUUCUUUUUUUUUUAAUGUGGACUGUGAUGAAACUCCUGUAUGUUUUAGCUGAAUACUUUGCUGCUUUUCCUUUACUUCUUUCACUUCUCAGUGCAGUAUUCCAGCUGAACCUUGCUAAUCUGACAGCUCUUUGCUACCAGUCUGGCUGCAUCUGGAGACAGCCUGAGCUCCAAACCUCUGUGGUAUUUUCUCUGUACUUGGAGAUGUUACGUGAUACUUUCUCCUACAUAACAAAAAUCACUAAAUCUUGCUAAGAGUUAAAGCACAACUUUUCCUUGGGCUCGAAAGCCUCUGCUGCCCCAUGAGGGUCUUCAUAAGCUGCAGACACUUCAUCUUGCCCUUUCCUGGAGGGUAACCUGUCUUAGCAAUUCCUUCCACGACAGAGUGUCUGCUGCAAGUGCUGUUUCUGCUGGUGGGUGAGAAGAGACAAACUGCAUAUCUGAUAGAUCCACAGAGGGUGGUGACGCACUGAACAGGUUGCCCAAGGAGGCUGUGGAUGCCCCAUCCCUGCAGGCAUUCAAGGCCAGGCUGGAUGUGGCUCUGGGCAGCCUGGGCUGCUGGUUGGCGACCCUGCACAUAGCAGGGGGUUGGAACUGGAUGAGCAUUGUGCUCCUUUUCAAGCCAGGCCAUUCUAUGAUUCUGUGAUACAUCUGGGCACUAAGGAAGCUAAACCACAUAAUCCUGGUCAGUCCUCCUGUGAUGAUGAUGGUUUUCCCAGGAGAUGUCUUAAAAAAUUAACAAGGUCAUUUUCUUCACAAAACUUUCCAAGCCUCAUUUCAGCCAAGCUGAAGGGAGCACUGCUCUGAUCUGUUUCUGACUUAUUCGUGUGUGUGACGUGUGAUGCUGGGGCUGCUACCAGUGGGCUCCUCAGAUCCUUGGAGGAAUCGGGCUGUCCCUGGGAGAGACUGUCUUUAUAGCAGUGAUAAGAUGGAAAGGAUCAUGGCAGAGACCAAACUGAUAAAGGCAGGAAUACUACAAGGAACAGCAUGCUGAAGGCAGAAUAUUUAAAGCUGCAUUAGAGGCAUUCUUUUCUGUCUGUUCAGAAGUUACCUUCCAUAGCCAAGUCCUUUAGCAGUAGAUGGUCUUUUCUCUACAGAAGAAAGAGCCUUCCAGAAGCGGGUACUCCACGCCUCUUGCCCAAGUCCACUUUGUUAAUAUUGCAAAAUUGCAAUCGAACUAAGCUGAUUAAGUGGUGCUGUAGAUUUGACACACAGAAACAAUGUUGUUAAUCUGGCAGCCAAAUAUAUUGGAGGGAAAAUGAGGUAACAGAAAACCAUAAAUUCCAUCCAGAAAUAUUUUUUCCUUAUUAAAAAAAAAAAAAACAAAAAACAAAAAAAACCAAUGAAACAUGUCUAGAAAGUCUUUCUUUCAAAAAAAGAAAAACAACAAAGACCAGCACUGGAACAGGAGGAUAUCAGAUUUUAUUUAAGCAAAGAAAGAAUGCAAGCACAACAUAAAUUUGGUAUUUAAAAAAACCCAACCUGCGUUAUUACAUUUGAGAAGUUUCUUGGAGUGAUCUGCAGGUUCCAUGGGAAUGAUCUGCACAUGCAGCAUUCAUAGCUGAAAAGGAAGCUAAAUUCCUUUCUGUUCGUAAUGCAAUCAUCUUACAAGGUAUUUUUUAUUAAAUUAGACCCAUGUGACUAAAUUGCUACCGAUGCCUUUUGUGAAUGCUCCUAAAUCAUCAGCUAAAUAGCAGCUGAUCUAAGUUUGGCAAAAGGAAGAAAUGAAGUUUUGGAAAAUGAUCUUCUUGUUCCUGAUAGCAAUCAAUCAGAAUGGGUUACUUGCAUACAGUCUUUUUUUAAAAGCACCAUAAUAACGGGAGGGCUGCGGAUCUUUCUUAUGUUAGCAGAGGAAAAAGAAAAAGGUACAGUCCAUAGUUUGAGCUUAAACAUGCUAUGGAUGUUCAGGUUUAUAUAUAUGUGUGUGUGUCUGUGUGUAUGUAUAUAAAUUUUAUAUAUGUAUAUCUAUGUAAAAUGUUUAUAUAUUUUUUAUAUAUAUAAAUACAUGUUAAUCAUCUGGAUCUUUAAGGUAUGCAGCAGGAUGAAAAGAUUGCUGUCUCCACUUAUUUCUAGCAUCACUAGAAGCAAAAGCAAAGCAUACACUGGCUUACCUGACCAAUCAGUGAAUUGUUUUCUUCUGUCAUUUCCUGUUUAAUUCAUGCUUUUGAUAGCUAUUCUUUGUCUUCAGAGAAAUCUUUCCUGUGUUCUAGGGGUCUCCUUCAAAGCAGCACACAGACAAUUGGGACAUUUUGGUAUUUAGGGCAUGUCCCCAGCUUUCAUGUGCUCUUCCUUACCUUUCAUGUUUGUUUUUUCCCAUUGUCAGAACCUGCAGUGCCUCCUCUUCGGUAUCCCUGGCAGCAGCUGGUAGUGCAUUCCCUUCAGAGGUGGGCGGCCCUUCUGUCCAUGCUGUUUUCCAGACACUGGGGAAAGGGAGUACUAGGCAUAGACCUGGCAAAGUGGGAUCAGGCUUAUAUAUUUGUAUACAUGCAUUAAAAAACAUUUUAAUUCUUAUAGGCAAUCUUACUAGCGUUUGGUUUGGAGAACAUACAUUGCUAAUAGAUAGCAGUAUGCAUCUGUUAAAUUUUAUGGGAUUUGGGGGCAGUUGUGAUUUAAUUUGUUUCUGGGAGUUCCAUCAAAAGAGAAAUCCUUUGUAAAGCUGCAGGUGUUAAAAUUAGACAAAAAUACUUUCUGUUCUGGGAAAUUAUAUGCACUUACAGCAAUUGAAUGUUGAAGUUGAAAUGCAAGGAGAAAAUGAAAGUCUUAAUAACCUGCUAACUGUAAUUUUGAGCUUUCAUAGAAACAGAUUUCCUGGCCCUUCCUUGUGGUUCCUUUGAAUAAAUAAGACAUUUACAGAUCCAUGGAAGCUCCCAUGUAGUGUCAACCCAACUAGUUUAGUUUUGUUAAAUCUGGAAGUUCAUUUUGUAUGUGAGUUCCUGAGACAGGAAUUUUUCAAUUUCACCAAGGCUUACUGCAGUGUAUGUAAACUUAGUGUUUUAUAUUUACGUAUAAUGUAUGGUAAGUCAAUUACAGUGACCAGGUGAACAAGAGUAGUGCUGAGGAGCACAGAACAGUAGUGCUGGUAACAAGAGGGAGUAAGGCUGUUUACGAGGGUGGAUAGUGAUAGGACAAGGGGGAAUGGUUUUGAACUGAGAUGGGGGAGCUUUAGGUUGGAUAUGAGGAGGAAGUUUUUCCCCCUGAGGGUGGUGACGCACUGAACAGGUUGCCCAAGGAGGCUGUGGAUGCCCCAUCCCUGCAGGCAUUCAAGGCCAGGCUGGAUGUGGCUCUGGGCAGCCUGGGCUGCUGGUUGGCGACCCUGCACAUAGCAGGGGGUUGGAACUGGAUGAGCACUGUGGGCCUUUUCAACCCAGGCCAUGCUGUGAUUCUAUGCCUUUGCCUGUUGGUGUUCAAAACGUGGUAUAAAACUUUGCAGUUUGCACUAAUUUUGCCGCAGUUAAAUGAAUGGAAAGAUACUGCUGAACUUCUGUUCAACCCUUGUAAUAUCAGCCAAUUAAUACAAUUUUUCUGUUGCACUUGAUUGCCUUUUCAGUUCUUUAAAGACAAAAUAAACAAGAGGUGUAUCUGAAGAGAGAUGGAUUUGUUUUUCUUUUGCCGUGUAAUCAUCACAGAUUCAUAUGUUCUUACAUUUCUGGCGUUUUCUGCCUCCCCUAAAUGUUUCCAGUUGAGUUUUGGAGGUGGG